GAAGAAAGUAGAUAAGGGCACACGGGGGAUGCCUAGGCUCCCAGAGGCGAAGAAGGACGCGACAAGCUGCGAUAAGCCGCGGGGAUCGGCACAUACGAAUUGAUCCGCGGAUUUCCGAAUGGGGCAACCCGGCAUGCUGAAGGCAUGCCAUACCGCAUAGCGGUAGGCGAACGCGCUGAACUGAAACAUCUAAGUAGGCGUAGGAGGAGAAAACAAGAGUGAUUCCGCAAGUAGUGGC
RNAcentral lists this ribosomal RNA (238 nucleotides) under Sphingobacterium arenae. RNAcentral describes it as "partial 23S ribosomal RNA". It matches the Rfam family "Bacterial large subunit ribosomal RNA", at positions 1 to 250 of the family's 2925-position model. The record is from RNAcentral. Lineage: Bacteria; Pseudomonadati; Bacteroidota; Sphingobacteriia; Sphingobacteriales; Sphingobacteriaceae.